GACGAACGCUGGCGGCGUGCUUAACACAUGCAAGUCGAACGGAAAGGCCCUGCUCUUGUGGGGUGCUCGAGUGGCGAACGGGUGAGUAACACGUGAGUAACCUGCCCUUGACUUUGGGAUAACUUCAGGAAACUGGGGCUAAUACCGGAUAGGAGAUCCUGCUGCAUGGGGGGGGUUGGAAAGUUUCGGCGGUGGGGGAUGGACUCGCGGCUUAUGAGCUUGUUGGUGGGGUAGUGGCUUACGAAGGCUUUGACGGGUAGCCGGCCUGAGAGGGUGACCGGCCACAUUGGGACUGAGAUACGGACCAGACUCCUAGGGGAGGCAGCAGUGGAGAAUAUUGCACAGUGGGCGGAAGCCUGAUGCAGCAGCGCCGCGUGCGUGAUGACGGCCUUCGAGUUGUAAACCGCUGUCGCCUGUGACGAAGCGUGAGUGACGGUAAUGAGUAAAGAAGCACCGGCUAACUACGUG
This 468-nucleotide ribosomal RNA is filed under the name uncultured bacterium. Its description in RNAcentral is "partial 16S ribosomal RNA". It matches the Rfam family "Bacterial small subunit ribosomal RNA", at positions 28 to 507 of the family's 1533-position model. The record is from RNAcentral.